RNAcentral lists this ribosomal RNA (308 nucleotides) under uncultured bacterium. RNAcentral describes it as "partial 16S ribosomal RNA". It matches the Rfam family "Bacterial small subunit ribosomal RNA", at positions 505 to 807 of the family's 1533-position model. The record is from RNAcentral.
GAGACAGCAGUCGCCACGGGAAUACGGAGGAUCCAAGCGUUAUCCGGAUUUAUUGGGUUUAAAGGGUGCGUAGGCGGCCUAUUAAGUCAGGGGUGAAAGACGGUAGCUUAACUAUCGCAGUGCCUUUGAUACUGAUGGGCUUGAAUACACUUGAGGUAGGCGGAAUGUGACAAGUAGCGGUGAAAUGCAUAGAUAUGUCACAGAACACCAAUUGCGAAGGCAGCUUACUAAAGUGUCAUUGACGCUGAGGCACGAAAGCGUGGGGAUCAAACAGGAUUAGAUACCCCAGUAGUCCCUGUCUCUUAUAC